RNAcentral lists this ribosomal RNA (659 nucleotides) under uncultured fungus. RNAcentral describes it as "eukaryotic LSU rRNA". It matches the Rfam family "Eukaryotic large subunit ribosomal RNA", at positions 24 to 664 of the family's 3401-position model. Lineage: Eukaryota; Fungi. The record is from RNAcentral.
CCCGCUGAACUUAAGCAUAUCAAUAAGCGGAGGAAAAGAAACUAACAAGGAUUCCCCUAGUAACUGCGAGUGAAGCGGGAAGAGCUCAAAUUUAAAAUCUGGCGUGCCUCUGGUCGUCCGAGUUGUAGUCUGGAGAAGCGUUUUCCGUGUUGGACCGUGUACAAGUCUCUUGGAACAGGGCGUCAUAGAGGGUGAGAAUCCCGUCUUUGACACGGACUACCAAUGCUUUGUGAUGCGCUCUCAAAGAGUCGAGUUGUUUGGGAAUGCAGCUCAAAAUGGGUGGUAAAUUCCAUCUAAAGCUAAAUAUAGGCGAGAGACCGAUAGCGAACAAGUACCGUGAGGGAAAGAUGAAAAGCACUUUGGAAAGAGAGUUAAACAGUACGUGAAAUUGCUGAAAGGGAAACGCUUGAAGUCAGUCACGUCUGCCAGGACUCAGCCUUGCUUCUGCUUGGUGUACUUUCUGGUUUGACGGGCCAACAUCAAUUUUGACCGUUGGAGAAAGGCUUUGGGAAUGUGGCACCCUCGGGUGUGUUAUAGCCCUUUGUCGUAUACAACGGUUGGGAUUGAGGACCGCAGCACGCCUUCAUGGCCGGGGUUCGCCCACGUACGUGCUUAGGAUGUUGGCAUAAUGGCUUUAAGCGACCCGUCUUGAAACACGG